Mycobacterium sp. is the source of this 68-nucleotide small RNA. It matches the Rfam family "ASdes TB sRNA". The record is from Rfam. Lineage: Bacteria; Bacillati; Actinomycetota; Actinomycetes; Mycobacteriales; Mycobacteriaceae.
AGCGCCACCGGGUCUACCCCGCGGGUGACCACCAGAUAGUCGCGCAUCGCGAUGCUGUGUCGGUUCUC